RNAcentral lists this unclassified non-coding RNA (337 nucleotides) under soil metagenome. RNAcentral's name for it is "partial contains 5.8S ribosomal RNA, internal transcribed spacer 2, and large subunit ribosomal RNA". The stretch from base 1 to 120 matches the Rfam family "5.8S ribosomal RNA", at positions 35 to 154 of the family's 154-position model. The record is from RNAcentral.
GAUGAAGAACGUAGUGAAAUGCGAUAAGUAGUGUGAAUUGCAGAAUUCAGUGAAUCAUCGAAUCUUUGAACGCACAUUGCGCCCCAUGGUAUUCCGUGGGGCAUGCCUGUUCGAGCGUCAUUUACCCCCUCAAGCUCCGCUUGGUGUUGGGCGUCUGUCCCGCUUCGCGCGCGGACUCGCCCCAAAGGUAUUGGCAGCGGUCGUGUCAGCUUCUCGCGCAGCACAUUGCGCUUCUCGAGGCACCGGUGGGCCCGCGUCCAUCAAGCUCACCCCCCCAGUUUGACCUCGGAUCAGGUAGGGAUACCCGCUGAACUUAAGCAUAUCAAUAAGCGGAGGA